CCCUUAGAUGUCCGGGGCCGCACGCGCGCUACACUGAAGGAAUCAGCGUGGCUUUCUCCCUGACCCGAAAGGGUUGGGAAACCCGUUGAAUCUCCUUCGUGAUAGGGAUUGGGGCUUGAAAUUGUUCCCCAUGAACGAGGAAUUCCCAGUAAGCGCGAGUCAUAAGCUCGCGUUGAUUACGUCCCUGCCCUUUGUACACACCGCCCGUCGCUACUACCGAUUGAAUGAUCCGAUGAAUAUCAUGGAUUGAGGAUGCAAGUAGGUUCACCUAUCUUCAUCUUCGAGAAGUGAAGUAAAUCUUAUCAUUUAGAGGAAGGAGAAGUCGUAACA
This 330-nucleotide ribosomal RNA is filed under the name uncultured eukaryote. RNAcentral's name for it is "partial 18S ribosomal RNA". It matches the Rfam family "Eukaryotic small subunit ribosomal RNA", at positions 1470 to 1796 of the family's 1831-position model. The record is from RNAcentral.